Molecule: small RNA, 101 nt
Filed under: Pogona vitticeps (central bearded dragon)
Lineage: Eukaryota; Metazoa; Chordata; Lepidosauria; Squamata; Agamidae
Description: Y RNA (ENSPVIG00000018796.1)
Source: RNAcentral
GGCUGGUCCAAUUGCAAUGGUAUUUAUAAUUAAUUGAUCACAGUCAGUUACAGGUCUCCAUGUCCUUCCAUAUUCGUUGCGAACAUUUGAACUGGCCUUCG